This is a long non-coding RNA of Scylla paramamosain (green mud crab), 1059 nucleotides long. RefSeq lists it as uncharacterized. Lineage: Eukaryota; Metazoa; Arthropoda; Malacostraca; Decapoda; Portunidae. The transcript has 2 exons. The record is from RefSeq and is a predicted model, not a curated record.
CCUGAUAUUACCAAGCCGCACUGAGAGCAUCGGGGGCGUUGUGUGGACUGCGUCGGGGAAAGUGACCAUGGCUUUUCCCACCUUAGAGAUAUUGGUGUGUGUGUGUGUGUGUGUCCAUCUAUCCUAACCUGAGCUAACUUCUCUCACCCACACACAUGUAACGUUCCUUUUUAUUAUUUCUGUGUUUCUUUGAGUCUCCCCAAUAAUUGUUUUCUUUUGUAGCUUGCGGUGAAGAGGAGGAUAAUAGCGGUAAUUAAAGGUUUAGUGAUUAUAUGAAAAAGUAUAUUUAUAAGGCGUGUAUUCGUGGGAGUGAUUUAAAAGUCUUGAAACAUUUAUUAUAAAUAGUCUUACUUAUUUCAACUGUGGUUUUCUCUAAUCAGUGGUAAUACGAAUAAUAGGAUUACAUCAUGUUGCGUCAGCCUACCAGUAACUCAUAAGGUGUCAUUCCCUAGCUUAUAAAAUAUGUUAGUAAUUUAGAAUUCAAUUAUUAACUUCAACUAAUGUCCAGCCUAUAUGCUCACCUUGUUAGCCAAUUAUUCCUGCAUUUUUAUUUAAACUCACGGUUCAGUAAAAUUAUUUGUGAAAGAAGAGAGAGAGAGAACUAGCUAAGGUUCCAAUAACUUCAGAGGCCUGUGGGUGUUGAGGGAGAGAGCACAGAAUGGCGUCUCCCUUCCCUCUGGCAACAGAAUGGCGUCUCCCUUCCCUCUGGCAACAGAAUGGCGUCUCCCUUCCCUCUGGCAACAGAUAAAAUUGCUGGUGUUGGUCCCACGUGGAGACAGGCCACAGAGUCUUGGGAAAGUGUUAGCCAUGUAAUGUUUCUUUAGUCAAAUAUAGUCUACUGUGAAUGUGUUGUGGGCAAUAUUAUGGCCGUAGAGAAGUGAUGGAUGAAGGCUGUGACGCUAUUUAGGGAUAUAACGGUGCCCAGAAUCAAUGGUACUCUUGAGGAGUUAUAAAAGUAAUUAUUUUCUUGUGUAUUCGUAGUGUUAAGUAACGGAGUAUAAGUGUAUAUGCCAUACCAGAAUUUCAAGUGCCUUUUCUUUUUUUUUCUAGAUUAACCAC